CCCUGGGUAGUGCAAAUGGUCAGCACACUUGACUGCUAACCAAAAGGUUGGAGGUUCAAUUCCAUCCAGAGGCA
This 74-nucleotide transfer RNA is filed under the name Loxodonta africana (African savanna elephant). It matches the Rfam family "tRNA". Rfam says of the family: Transfer RNA (tRNA) molecules are approximately 80 nucleotides in length. Their secondary structure includes four short double-helical elements and three loops (D, anti-codon, and T loops). Lineage: Eukaryota; Metazoa; Chordata; Mammalia; Proboscidea; Elephantidae. The record is from Rfam by way of RNAcentral.